AAACUAUGAUGUGGGCAAUGCCUAAGUAAGUUAUUGUUUCUAUCCUAAGCUUCAUACAGUAACUCACCAUCAAAUUGUAUGAAAAAAGUGAUAUCAUUCCUCAUUUU
RNAcentral lists this small nucleolar RNA (107 nucleotides) under Theobroma cacao (cacao). RNAcentral's name for it is "Plant small nucleolar RNA R71". It matches the Rfam family "Plant small nucleolar RNA R71". Rfam says of the family: R71 is a member of the C/D box family of snoRNAs containing the C (UGAUGA) and D (CUGA) box motifs. Multiple nearly identical copies of this snoRNA have been identified in Arabidopsis, and it is thought to function as a 2'-O-ribose methylation guide for 18S ribosomal RNA. Lineage: Eukaryota; Viridiplantae; Streptophyta; Magnoliopsida; Malvales; Malvaceae. The record is from Rfam by way of RNAcentral.